RNAcentral lists this unclassified non-coding RNA (201 nucleotides) under Hevea brasiliensis (rubber tree). The record is from RNAcentral. Lineage: Eukaryota; Viridiplantae; Streptophyta; Magnoliopsida; Malpighiales; Euphorbiaceae.
GGUUGUAUUUUGGUGUUUAAGUAGGAUAUUACGGAAUUGUUUUUUUUUAUUUUUUAUUUAUCGUUUUACGUAUGAUUUUUUUUUUUUAGAGAGGUUUUUUUUAAUAGGAUAUAAAAACGGUUUUUGGAAAUUUUAGUUGAUAUUUUAUUUGUUAUGUAAUAAUAGUGGAAUGAGAGAAUAUUUUUUAGUAGUUUCGGUAAA